This 2992-nucleotide long non-coding RNA is filed under the name Lynx pardinus (Iberian lynx). The record is from RNAcentral. Lineage: Eukaryota; Metazoa; Chordata; Mammalia; Carnivora; Felidae.
UGAGGGCAGCCGAGGCGGGGGAGGCCGAGCCGAGCAGGACCAGCACGUCCUCUUCCUCCUUCAACUCCAAGGUCUCGGAUUUGACAAACAUCCUACCGGGGAGAGCGGGGAGGAAGAAAGAACCAAACGAGAUGUAAAUACAGAAGCAGAGGCACGUUCUUGGUGCCAGCGGAAAGUACUCCUGCGCGCACCCACUAGGACUGGUUCGGAAGGGCGGCACCAAGGAGGAACGUAGUUAGGGAGGAGACCCCGCCAGUGCUCUCCAAGCUCAGGAGAGCCCCUCGUUGUGUCCCCGCUGCCAGCCAACAGGGUCCCGCCCUCGGCUGGUCGACCUCGCAGCUGUGUUCCCGCCCGGAAAGAGACAGCAGCCCCUGGGACAAAGAUUCUGUGCCUGCAAAGGGUGCUCGGACGUGGUGGAACAGAGUGACGGAAAAGAGUGCCGGAAACACCCUUCCAAGUUGGAAGACACCGGCGGAUACUUACGUAGUUCGCUCCCUCAGUGCGUCUUGGUGAAGCUAUUACUUUGGCGUGUGCUGCGAUUCUCCGCGCUGCCGGGAGCGCAGCGCUGCGUCCUUCUCUUAACGUGAAAGCGGCGGAUCUGGCGCGGCUCCGCGGGGGACCUCUCCGACUGGCGAGUUUGCCAAGAGCCCCGGAGGCCGCGGCGAUCCGCCCGGGUCUCGUGUGUUGUGGUGGUGGUGCGUGUCUGUCUGUCAGUCAGUCCUCGGCCGUGCAGCUCCUGGCACGCGACUCCCGGGCACUCCAGUUAAAGCGAAGCUGCUUGUGGUUCAGUGGCUGCGUGUCUGGCACACGACUCUCCUUAAAACCCCUUAUAUACCACCAAGAAAACAAUCAGAUCUGCCCCCAGGGCCCCCACCUCCCCCUCAACCCCUGCCGCCGCCUCCUCCUCCCCCCUGUGCAGGCCCCCCUUCUCCCCCGCUUUUCCCUCCCCCGGCUUAUUCUUUUCAUUGCAUUAUCAUCAUUCAUUUCUUUCUCUUUCUUCACCCACUUCCCCCCUCCCUGGCCCUGCCAUCCAUCCUCCUCCUCCCAUCGCCCCCCGCCUCUCUUUUCCCCCUUUAUCUAAUCAGCAUAAAAUGGUUCUAAAGCUCCUGUUGGAGCUCGAGGCUGCGGUCGGAGCGGCUGAAGCCGCGGUGGCAGCUUCAGCUCAAGCUGCGGCUGUUGUCGCCGCCGCUGCCCAUUGUGAUUGGUGGCUCGCGCUCGGCUGGAGCGUGCCGCUAAUUUAUUAAUGAAUGGAGGUCGCGAGGCGCAGCUGGCCAAUCAGGGCGCCCCGGACUCCGGGAGGCCUGCGAGCCACGCGCACCGGAGCCCGCUCCCUUUCAGCAGCUCAUUAGGGGCCGGGGCGCCGGGGGCCGUUGGGGAGACGGAGGCUACCUCCCCCCGCCCCCGUCCUUGCGGCCGCACCCCACCCCCAGCCCCGGCGCGCGCUCGCUCGCCGCACCAGGCGCUGCCCGGCCUCUCAGCUCCCGGACGUUGAGCUCCGAGGAAUUAGUUAAUGGGGGUCAGAAUCUCGGGGAAAGCAGCAACCCUCUGGUGCUACCCGGCGUCUCUUGGCAAAGCCUCUUAGGAGCUGUACCAAAUAGUAAAUGGUUUUAAAACGCAUUCAUUUGGUCAAGGGAGGAGUGGGGUGUGGGUGGCGAGUUGUGGGCACAUGGUGGGCAAACGUGUUUAGGUUCCAGAGAGAAUGGCGUGGAAGGGUGAAGGAAGAGGACGUUGGAAGGUUCAUCGAGGCGUCUCCUAGAAGGGGAGAUCCAGUGCAGCAGCGGUAGAUGGGCUUUUAGAGGAUGUGAGAAUAAACGCACUCACAGGUUAAAGCUAAAACCCUCCUCAUUUUGCCGGUGACAAACGGAGUCUCCGGGAACCGACGCAGGUUCUGUCUGUUCGUUUGCUUUGUUUUGUUUGUUUUGUUUUGGGGUUUAACCCCGGUUUACGGCAGAGCCAGACAACAAGGUGGCUUCCUUGCAAGGGUGGCAGCCAGCGGAGUGGGAGGAGCGGCCGACCUGCAGCGCCUGUGAGCGCCUGGGCUGAGCUGACAUUUCCGUGACCUCUGCUCCGCGCUGGGGGGCGUUGUAGGGACAAGGGGCCCGUCCUCCCGAUACUCGGCGCUUUUCAACGGGAAAAUAGAGCCGAGGGCUACUGGACUUCGGAGGGAACUUGUUCUGAAUUGCUCGUCGGCCCUCCCUCUCUCCUCCUCCCCCACGCUCACGCCCACCCUCUUGUCGCCUUGACUGACUUUUCUUAGAGACAGAACCAGAGUCCCUAGAAGUGUGUGUGCCGGAUGGAGCGUUAGACCGUGCCAGAGUAGCUGACAAGAAUCUGGACUGCGGUAGAUAGGAGAGAAGUCCCUUGAGUUCCCUUUUGCAAAUUCAGUUUAAGCAAGGCGUAUUUGGAAUGGUGGAAGUUGAAAAGUGACAAGAGAGAAAAGAUUCUUGUCUGCAGGUCUCUGUGUCACUCAGGUUGUAGGAAUUGGAAACAUUUAUUUCAGAGAAGGGCAUGAUGAAAGCGGUUGUUAGUGUUUUGGCAUGGUUUCAAUUUGUUUAAUGUUUUCUGCAUGGAGUAACUGCAGGAUUGGAAGGUGCAAAGUAAAGAAAAUGAAAAUUAGAAUCCCGUGAAAGAGACUUGUGCCCACUGCAGCCCUCCAACCUCCAGACUCCCUUCUGUCUUGAAAUGAUUUGAAAACUGCCUCAAUUUUCACUUUGCUCGUUGAUAUUUGUGUUUUGCCUCUCUUCCCCUUGGAAAGAGCAAGUUCCCUAUGCUUAAAAGCAUUAUUUCUCCAGAUGCCCCCUCAAUCUUUUCAGAACAGCUUGAUUUCAUGUGUUAGCAGUGCAAACAUUUAUAAAGAAGAGAGACACUUUCAGUCUCCAGAAUACAGCAUCUGCCUCUCUCACACUUCUUCGGGUCUCUGAUUCUGGAUCAUGAGCCUACAGAAUCAGAACUUCGUAAAAGAGUUUGAUCAAGCAGAAGAUAGGUCAGUAGU